ACGAGACACGCUGGCGGCAUGCUUAACACAUGCAAGUCGAACGAGAAUCUGUGGAUCGAGGAUUCGUCCAAGAGAAGCAGAGGACAGUGGCGGACGGGUGAGUAACGCGUGAGGAACCUGUCCUUUCAGGAGGGGGACAACAGUUGGAAACGACUGCUAAUACCGCAUAACGCGUAGAGGUCGCAUGGUCCUUUACGCCAAAGAUUUAUCGCUGAAAGAUGGCCUCGCGUCUGAUUAGCUAGUUGGUGAGGUAACGGCCCACCAAGGCGACGAUCAGUAGCCGGACUGAGAGGUUGAACGGCCACAUUGGGACUGAGAUACGGCCCAGACUCCUACGGGAGGCAGCAGUGGGGAAUAUUGGGCAAUGGGCGCAAGCCUGACCCAGCAAUGCCGCGUGAAGGAAGAAGGCUUUCGGGUUGUAAACUUCUUUUGUCAGGGACGAGUAGAAGACGGUACCUGACGAAUAAGCCACGGCUAACUACGUG
This 485-nucleotide ribosomal RNA is filed under the name uncultured bacterium. RNAcentral's name for it is "bacterial SSU rRNA". It matches the Rfam family "Bacterial small subunit ribosomal RNA", at positions 33 to 507 of the family's 1533-position model. The record is from RNAcentral.